UCCGGUUUGCCACCGGCAGUCUCGCAUGAGUCCCCGGCCGAACCGCUGGCAACAUGCGACGGGGGUUGCGCUCGUUGCGGGACUUAACCCAACAUCUCACGGCACGAGCUGACGACAGCCAUGCAGCACCUGUGCAGGCUCCCGAAGGAGCGCCGUGUUUCCACGGCUUCACCCUGCAUGUCAAGUCCUGGUAAGGUUCUUCGCGUUGCGUCGAAUUAAGCAACACGCUCCGCUGCUUGUGCGGGCCCCGUCAAUUCCUUUGAGUUUUAGCCUUGCGGCCGUACUCCCCAGGCGGGGCACUUAAUGCGUUAGCGACGGCGCGGAUCUCGUUGGUUGAGACCCACACCUAGUGCCCAACGUUUACGGCGUGGA
Molecule: unclassified non-coding RNA, 372 nt
Filed under: uncultured Actinomycetes bacterium
Lineage: Bacteria; Bacillati; Actinomycetota; Actinomycetes
Description: uncultured actinobacterium contains 16S-23S intergenic spacer region
Source: RNAcentral